RNAcentral lists this ribosomal RNA (435 nucleotides) under Cormocephalus neocaledonicus. RNAcentral describes it as "eukaryotic LSU rRNA". It matches the Rfam family "Eukaryotic large subunit ribosomal RNA", at positions 666 to 946 of the family's 3401-position model. The record is from RNAcentral. Lineage: Eukaryota; Metazoa; Arthropoda; Chilopoda; Scolopendromorpha; Scolopendridae.
CCAAGGAGUCUAACAUGUGCGCGAGUCGUAGGGUGCUCGCAAAAAUUACACGGAACGAAACCCGAAGGCGAAAUGAAAGUGAAGGUCGGUGGUCUGACCGACCGAGGCGGGAUCCGUCCGGGCGUCGGUUUGUUUUGCGGCGGGUAGUCGGUAGGGGUGGAAGGUUUCGGGGCCGCGAGGCUUCGAUAUCUCUCUCUCUCUCUCUGACUCUCUCGCUCGCGCACGCCGAGUCCGGCGGCGCACCGCCGGCCCGUCUCGACCGCUUCUUGUCGGCGAGGCGGAGCAAGAGCGCACACGUUGGGACCCGAAAGAUGGUGAACUAUGCUCGGGCAGGACGAAGCCAGAGGAAACUCUGGUGGAGGUCCGUAGCGAUUCUGACGUGCAAAUCGAUCGUCGGACCCGAGUAUAGGGGCGAAAGACUAAUCGAACCGUCUA